Molecule: long non-coding RNA, 906 nt
Filed under: Malus domestica (apple)
Lineage: Eukaryota; Viridiplantae; Streptophyta; Magnoliopsida; Rosales; Rosaceae
Description: long non-coding RNA (MDOM_LNC014138)
Source: RNAcentral
AACCGAAAAAAAAUUGAACCGAAUCGAAAUUUUUCGAACCGAACCCAGCCCUAAAUGGUAUAUUACCACUUAAACUGUUAUCCCUUAGUGUUCAAAGCAAGAUAUAGUAGGAACCGUAUCUGCAAAUGUAAAGAUAGAAAAGAUAAUCUCCAAGAAAAGAAAAUCUCCACGUAUCUAUCAAAGCACUUUUAACUAUCUUCAUGAGCCACAAUAUCACCAUCCAUCGGUCAAAAGAGCUAUUUUUCUUUAUAAGAGUGUCUUAGAGUGUUAGCUAGAAUGAACAUAUAGUAAAGAUUGCGUGAUGGUAGAGUUUGAUGUGAUGAUAGGGUUUAAUUAUUGGGUGGGGUCUAUUGAUAAAUUAUAAUUUUAUUCUUAAUUUUAUCUUGUAGUUGAUGGUAAUUAUGCAAUUGGAUAAAAAAAGACAUUUCACAUCUAAAAUUUAAUAAAUUGUGUAGAAAUAAGUUACAUGGGUUUAAAUAAAAUUUCUCAUAAUUUAUCGAGCUUCCAAUUUUACUCCUAACGUUAGUCUUGGCCCGCUUAUGUGCUCCACCUAUGUAAGUGGGUUGGCAACAGACGUGUCCCUCUUGAUUCGGUGUAGAUAUAAGAAAGGGAAAGGGAUCCUUUCCGGAUCUCUUGAUUCGGAGAAUCUAUUUCCUCUACAAUUCAUUCCUAUCAGCUUUCUUCUUUCUAGACACAACGACUUUUUUAUGAAGAUGGAUCUUUUCCAGAUAUAAUCCUCUUCAUCGAACAAUCCGGACAUUUGAAAUUUGAUUCAACGGCUAAAAUUAUUAUAACUUUAGAGUGGGCCCCUAUUUUUAGUCAUUGGAUCAAAUUUUAAGGGUCCAGAUUGUUUGAUGAAGAGGAUUAGAUGGAAGAAAUCCAGAAAAUAUCCAUUUUCAUAAGAAA